AAGAAGUUUCUCUAUUCCAUGUCACAUUGGAAAGAUAAGUAUUGAAAAGGUAUUGUGUGAUCUUGGAGCUAGUGUAAGUUUGAUGCCACUCUCCAUUUGUGAAAAGUUGAAGGUUGGAAAAUUGAAGGCAACAACUAUUUCUUUGUAACUAGCUGAUAGAUCUAUCAAAUAUCCAGUGGGAAGUUUGGAGAAUGUGCCAUUGAAGGUUGGAAAAUUUUUU
This 220-nucleotide unclassified non-coding RNA is filed under the name Hevea brasiliensis (rubber tree). The record is from RNAcentral. Lineage: Eukaryota; Viridiplantae; Streptophyta; Magnoliopsida; Malpighiales; Euphorbiaceae.